Stylonychia lemnae is the source of this 73-nucleotide transfer RNA. It matches the Rfam family "tRNA". From Rfam's summary of the family: Transfer RNA (tRNA) molecules are approximately 80 nucleotides in length. Their secondary structure includes four short double-helical elements and three loops (D, anti-codon, and T loops). Further hydrogen bonds mediate the characteristic L-shaped molecular structure. tRNAs have two regions of fundamental functional importance: the anti-codon, which is responsible for specific mRNA codon recognition, and the 3' end, to which the tRNAs corresponding amino acid is attached (by aminoacyl-tRNA synthetases). tRNAs cope with the degeneracy of the genetic code in two manners: having more than one tRNA (with a specific anti-codon) for a particular amino acid; and 'wobble' base-pairing, i.e. permitting non-standard base-pairing at the 3rd anti-codon position. Lineage: Eukaryota; Ciliophora; Spirotrichea; Sporadotrichida; Oxytrichidae. The record is from Rfam.
GCCGACAUGGCCUAAUGGAUAAGGCGCUUCCCUCCUAAGGAAGAGAUUGGGGGUUCGAGUCCCCCUGUUGGUG